CCAGGCUCCUUGGGAGCCCUUCCCUGAGGCUGUGUAUGAGGAGAUUGGCUACAGCACAGCGUGGGAGAAGCAGGAGAGGUUCAGUGACUCAGGCUCCUAUUCAGAGGGGUCUUUGGCCAAGCUGCAGCCCAAGCCUGGUGACAGAGAGGAGGAGGAGAAUGGCCUGGAGUCAACAGCAGAUGUCUCUGUGCUGGCUGGAGGUGACCCACUGGAUGGCUAUGAUGAUGCCAGGGACAUUGCUAACCCUGGGCAGGAGCCUGUGUUUAGACAGGGAGCCAGGGAAAUGCCCAAGGAACCAGAA
Pogoniulus pusillus (Red-fronted tinkerbird) is the source of this 301-nucleotide long non-coding RNA. RefSeq lists it as uncharacterized. The transcript has 3 exons. NCBI's taxonomy places the organism in Eukaryota, Metazoa, Chordata, Aves, Piciformes, Lybiidae. The record is from RefSeq and is a predicted model, not a curated record.